RNAcentral lists this long non-coding RNA (823 nucleotides) under Marmota monax (woodchuck). Lineage: Eukaryota; Metazoa; Chordata; Mammalia; Rodentia; Sciuridae. The record is from RNAcentral.
ACUCUACACGUGGGACUUGGUGAUGAAUGUUCACAAGGGUGCAAAGGGGAUCUGUAAUAGCUCAGCUAAAAACAGGAGCGCUUCUGGCCUCCAGAAGUGCACUAAAACCCCAGCACUUGAGGGAGGCCCCAGCCUGAGCCUGGCACAAUGCCCUGAGGAUGUGGCUCACACUUUUCACACACUCUUGAAGCACUGAAGAUCCUGCGACAUCUCUCACCACCCCGGGCUGUUUUAGAUUGGAUUCCCAUCCUCCAUGUUCCUCUAAUGGCAGCCCUGCCUGCCCUCCUGAGUCCCAAGAGUCAGCCAGCACAGGACUUGGGGGCUUACAGGAGCACUGCUCUUUGGAGUCUUCUCUCCUGAGGCCUGACUGAGGUCAGGUUCCUUCAAGAAUUUGAUGAGACCAUCCAUCUUUUUCAGGCCCCCCCCCACCCUCAGUUCUCUUGGGGAAAGGUGCAUCUUCCCCCAGUAUCUGGAGAAUUCUGACAGGUGGAUAUGGGAUCCCAGCAGAACAUCUAAGGGAAAAGGCUAGCAGGGGAUCUAGGACUGAAACUCAGGAAAGAGGACAAGGUAAGGCUAAUCAUUGUUACCACCAAUUGAGUCCUUUCUGUGUGCUGGAUAUUGUGCCAACUAAGCACUUUAUAUGCACCUCAAUUCACAGAUGAGGAAUUAAGGCUCACAAAUUCAAGUAACUUUCCCAAGUUUACACAAUCAGAAAGUAGUGGAAGAUUCAAACACAGGCCAUUAGGAUUCUAGAACCUAAGUUCUUAACCACUAUAUUCUCAUUUAGGAGUCAAAAAAACCAAAAACCAAAAAACAAAAAAAA